ACUCCUACGGGAGGCAGCAGUAGGGAAUCUUCCACAAUGGGCGCAAGCCUGAUGGAGCAACACCGCGUGAGUGAAGAAGGGUUUCGGUCUCGUAAAGCUCUGUUGUUAAAGAAGAACACGUAUGAGAGUAACUGCUCAUACGUUGACGGUAUUUAACCAGAAAGUCACGGCUAACUACGUGCCAGCAGCCGCGGUAAUACGUAGGUGGCAAGCGUUAUCCGGAUUUAUUGGGCGUAAAGAGAGUGCAGGCGGUUUUCUAAGUCUGAUGUGAAAGCCUUCGGCUUAACCGGAGAAGUGCAUCGGAAACUGGAUAACUUGAGUGCAGAAGAGGGUAGUGGAACUCCAUGUGUAGCGGUGGAAUGCGUAGAUAUAUGGAAGAACACCAGUGGCGAAGGCGGCUACCUGGUCUGCAACUGACGCUGAGACUCGAAAGCAUGGGUAGCGAACAGGAUUAGAUACCCUGGUAGGAUAGCG
Molecule: ribosomal RNA, 474 nt
Filed under: uncultured bacterium
Lineage: Bacteria
Description: bacterial SSU rRNA
Rfam family: Bacterial small subunit ribosomal RNA
Source: RNAcentral